GUUGAAACACCAGUUCCCGUACGAUAACAGAAGUUAAGCAAUGUCGAGACUGGCCAGUACCAAGAUGGGUAACUCUUUUGGAAACCAGAUGCUGUAA
Molecule: non-coding RNA, 97 nt
Organism: Acanthosepion pharaonis
Lineage: Eukaryota; Metazoa; Mollusca; Cephalopoda; Sepiida; Sepiidae
Source: the annotation of a GenBank genome assembly